UUGCACAGUGAACACCAGUGUGCUCUCUGGUUCCCUGGGCUUUGACUCUGUGCUACAGCAGUGUCUGUUCUUUUCCUCUGUAGUGAAGGGAUUAUGUAUCCUUGUAAAUGUAUUCAGGAAGUCCGCACACUA
Molecule: small nucleolar RNA, 132 nt
Organism: Myotis lucifugus (little brown bat)
Lineage: Eukaryota; Metazoa; Chordata; Mammalia; Chiroptera; Vespertilionidae
Product: small nucleolar RNA SNORA22
Source: Ensembl